AGCAGCCGCGGUAAUUCCAGCUCCAAUAGCGUAUAUUAAAGUUGUUGCAGUUAAAAAGCUCGUAGUUGAAUUUCGGGAUCAAUACGUCGGUCGUGCUUCGGUACGUACUGGCGUAAUUGAUUUCUCCCUUCUGACGAACCAUGAUGUCAUUAACUUGGUGUCAUGGGAAAUCAGGACUGUUACUUUGAAAAAAUUAGAGUGUUUAAAGCAGGCUCACGCUUGAAUACAUUAGCAUGGAAUAAUGAAAUAGGACGUUCGAUCCUAUUUUGUUGGUUUUUAGGAUCAACGUAAUGAUUAAUAGGGAUAGUUGGGGGCAUUAGUAUUCAAUUGUCAGAGGUGAAAUUCUUGGAUUUAUUGAAGACUAACUACUGCGAAAGCAUUUGCCAAGGAUGUUUUCAUUAAUCAAGAACGAAAGUUAGGGGAUCGAAGACGGUCAGAUACCGUCGUAGUCUUAACCAUAAACUAAUGCCGACUAGGGAUCGGAUGAUGUUAAUUUUUAAUUGUACUCAUUCGGCGCCUU
RNAcentral lists this ribosomal RNA (520 nucleotides) under uncultured Glomus. Its description in RNAcentral is "SSU rRNA". It matches the Rfam family "Eukaryotic small subunit ribosomal RNA", at positions 569 to 1089 of the family's 1831-position model. Lineage: Eukaryota; Fungi; Glomeromycota; Glomeromycetes; Glomerales; Glomeraceae. The record is from RNAcentral.